Molecule: long non-coding RNA, 942 nt
Filed under: Nannospalax galili (Upper Galilee mountains blind mole rat)
Lineage: Eukaryota; Metazoa; Chordata; Mammalia; Rodentia; Spalacidae
Description: lncRNA (ENSNGAG00000024614.1)
Source: RNAcentral
UUGGAGAGAGAGAGGGAGGGAGGGGGAGGGGGAGAGGGAGAGGGAAAAAUGAGUGUGUGUGUGUGUGUGUGUGUGCUGGGGGGGGGUCUUGCCUGUCUUCACAUUAUAUGUCUCAUGCACCGGUCCUGUCAUUCUCCAAAGAAGGCUUGUGGGCAGAAGAGAUCGGUUACUGCACACCUGAAAUUUAAAUUCGAGUUUUCCUUCCACAGUGAAUGGUCCUGCGGACAUCCUGCCACCCCUCAGUGCAGUCAUCAUGUCCUUCCUGUUACUCAUGUGUCCAGUUUACAAAUCAUUCACUUCCAAGCACUGAAAUGAUGUAGAAUUAAAACUCAUGAAAAUAAUAAAGAUUAUUAUUUUAGACGGUUUUCUAAACAUUUGAGACAGGGUCUCUGUAUAACCUCUGCUAGCCUAGAACUCACAAUGCACAGCCAAGCUGGCCCUAAACUUGCCGCUGCAUUGCCUCCCCAGUGCUGAGAUCGUGGGCAUGCACCACCAUGCCUGAUGAGACAGUGCUUCGUUAAAGAUGAAACUAUGCCUACUUAGAAUCAUGCACCACACGUUCUUAAUUUGCUAAACAGGUUUAAGUUAGAAAACAAGAUAGGAGAUGGGUUUUAGUCAUUUCAGUCAGUAACAAGGACUUUGAGUUUUAAGACUUUGGGGGUAGGAAUGUAUUUGAAAGUUUGAGCAGAGAGAGUUGUUUCUGUGUGCAUAGAGAUCUCCACAGUACCCUCUCUCUAUCAUAAGGUUUUGGAAGUACUACCCAGAUAGGAUGAGUUUGUUUCAGGUCAUGUUUUGUGUGGCGUGUGAAAAGCAGAUAAUGAGUGUGGACAGGAUAUCUGGGUGAAGUCCCAGCACUGACCCGUGUUAUGUAUAUGAGGUUUAAGGGUUUAUACUAAUUUACUUUUUCUUUUUCUUUUUUUUUUUUUUUUUGGUCUUUUUGAA